Molecule: ribosomal RNA, 376 nt
Filed under: uncultured bacterium
Lineage: Bacteria
Description: bacterial SSU rRNA
Rfam family: Bacterial small subunit ribosomal RNA
Source: RNAcentral
GACGAACCGUCCAAACGUUAUUCGGAAUCACUGGGCUUAAAGGGUGCGUAGGCGGCUUCGCAAGUUGGGUGUGAAAGCCCUCGGCUCAACCGAGGAACGGCGCCCAAAACUGCGGGGCUCGAGGAAGGCAGAGGUGAGCGGAACUUGCGGUGGAGCGGUGAAAUGCGUUGAUAUCGCAAGGAACACCAGUAGCGAAAGCGGCUCACUGGGCCUUUACUGACGCUGAGGCACGAAAGCCAGGGGAGCGAACGGGAUUAGAUACCCCGGUAGGCCUGGCCGUAAACGAUGAGCACUGGUUUGGAGGGUCCCCCAUAGCCUUCCAGACGUAGCGAAAGUGUUAAGUGCUCCGCCUGGGGAGUAUGGUCGCAAGGCUGAA